RNAcentral lists this non-coding RNA (21 nucleotides) under Caenorhabditis elegans. Lineage: Eukaryota; Metazoa; Nematoda; Chromadorea; Rhabditida; Rhabditidae. The record is from RNAcentral.
UAGAAUGCUCGUAGAUCUUGG